UUCUGUGAUUUCUCUUUAGCUGGAGCUUCUAGUUUGAGUAGAGUGAACUCUAAUAACUUGUUAUUUGAUUUGGAGAGCUUUGAGGUCCGUGGAGUCUGGGAACUCGAGGUUCUUGGAGGAGGAAAACUGCUUCGAAUUGAGUUGGGUUAGGGAUUUGAGAAGGGGGUGGUGAUAGAGCAGCCAGUUCACAGCAGCAUACAUGGGUUAUCCUUGUUGGAGAAGAAGAAUGGACUCGAGCGUGUGCCCAUGAAAUUGGAAGAAGUAUCAAAAGGCAGAAACGAAGCUAAGUUCGGGUGAGCACUCCAAUUCCAGGUAGGGUGAGCCGUCCCUAUCUUGUUAGUGGUUUUCUUGUGCGUGUAUAUGCUUAUACAUAUAUUAAGCUGCCUGCAAGUACGUUUUUGGUUGUUCAUUAGUCGAUGCCUCGUGAUACAUGUGUUUCCAGAACUGAUAAUUGCUAAUUGCGAAAACCGAGGCUAGACUUGCAUGUUGAGAUACUGUACCCUUGUAUGUUUAUACUUGUGACCUGAAAGUGAAUGGGACCUAGACGCUUAGAUUCCUAGGGAUCCCACGGUGUCGAUAACCGUGAACCUCCGGAGGGGGCUGUGCUCCUAUGUUUGUCGAGGAAAGAUAAGUAUAGACAGUGAACCAGUCAUAGGAGACUCAGGGCCAGGAAAUGGACACUUUCGCUACUUGUAGUCAGAAGUACUACAGAGUAGUUGGCCGGUUCUCGAAUUCAGGACGAACCAGGUCGGUCACCGAUUUGUUUUAUAUUAGCCGGCAGGUAAGUAUCUCGGAGCUCCAAGUUGUGUGAAACAUACUGCAUAUGUUUUAUAAAAGCGAUAAAUGUUUGUGGUUGCCUCUUUAUAAAGUAUUUUCGAUAAACGUGCACAAUAUUAUGUAGUAAAUAUUUUCAAGUAUAUUAUUAUUUUCAAACCUAGCAUGGUUGGGUCGGCCCUUACUGGGCAUGCGAGGACGAAAGCUCACCCCUACAACAGUGUGCAAGUUUUGAGCAUGUGGUCGGGAAGCGUAUAGGAGAGGCACAUGGCCCGGCUUGGCGCAUUCCUCUUUGUCUUUACCAAAGUACGGUUUCGGGUCUAUUAUCGGAUUUUGAAGUCACUUAUUUAUUUACCUUCUGACUAAUUUAUUUAUUUCCUACUCGCUUACAAAAAUUCCGGGAGACCCGUAACCCUGGGGCGCGUCUCCCAUGCUUGUAUUUAUUUAGUGAAUUGUUUUAUUCUCCAAAUUGGGCUCCGAUUGCAAGCCCAAUACUCUUAGCCCAUUUCAAAUUCCGCUUUUGAAAAUAUGUUGUUCGGUUGCUAGAACGUUUUGAGACAUUUGUCCAAGAAAGUGUUUUGUAAACCAACAACCUGAACCAAAAAGGCCUUGUGAUUUCGGGUUAAUGAGUCAUCGGGAUGUCGUUAGUGACGUGUCGGUUUCUCAUUGGCUCGGGGGCGCGGCGCUGUGGGACCCCUAUCUCGGGUCACCACAUGUUUUAUCCCAUGU
RNAcentral lists this long non-coding RNA (1503 nucleotides) under Rosa chinensis. RNAcentral describes it as "sRNA RchiOBHm_Chr4g0412251". The record is from RNAcentral. Lineage: Eukaryota; Viridiplantae; Streptophyta; Magnoliopsida; Rosales; Rosaceae.